UACGUAGGUGGCAAGCGUUGUCCGGAUUUAUUGGGUUUAAAGGGUGCGUAGGCGGUUCUUUAAGUCAGUUGUGAAAUACGGCAGCUCAACUGUCGAGGUGCAAUUGAUACUGGGGAACUAGAGUACUGAUGAGGUAUGCGGAAUGGACGGAGUAGCGGUGAAAUGCUUAGAUAUCGUCCAGAACACCGAUAGCGAAGGCAGCAUACUAAGGAGUAACUGACGCUGAGGCACGAAAGUGUGGGGAUCAAACAGG
RNAcentral lists this ribosomal RNA (253 nucleotides) under uncultured bacterium. RNAcentral describes it as "partial 16S ribosomal RNA". It matches the Rfam family "Bacterial small subunit ribosomal RNA", at positions 524 to 776 of the family's 1533-position model. The record is from RNAcentral.